GUUCAGAUGACGCUGCGCGUGCUACACAUGCAAGUCGAACGGUGAAGCAGAGCUUGCUCUGUGGAUCAGUGGCGAACGGGUGAGUAACACGUGAGCAACUGCCUGGACUCUGGGAUAAGCGCUGGAAACGGCGUCUAAUACUGGAUACGAGACGUGGCCGCAUGGUCAACGUUUGGAAAGAUUUUUUGGUUCAGGAUGGGCUCGCGGCCUAUCAGCUUGUUGGUGAGGUAAUGGCUCACCAAGGCGUCGACGGGUAGCCGGCCUGAGAGGGUGACCGGCCACACUGGGACUGAGACACGGCCCAGACUCCUACGGGAGGCAGCAGUGGGGAAUAUUGCACAAUGGGCGAAAGCCUGAUGCAGCAACGCCGCGUGAGGGAUGACGGCCUUCGGGUUGUAAACCUCUUUUAGCAAGGAAGAAGCGAAAGUGACGGUACUUGCAGAAAAAGCGCCGGCUAACUACGUGCCAGCAGCCGCGGUAAUACGUAGGGCGCAAGCGUUAUCCGGAAUUAUUGGGCGUAAAGAGCUCGUAGGCGGUUUGUCGCGUCUGCUGUGAAAACUGGAGGCUCAACCUCCAGCCUGCAGUGGGUACGGGCAGACUAGAGUGCGGUAGGGGAGAUUGGAAUUCCUGGUGUAGCGGUGGAAUGCGCAGAUAUCAGGAGGAACACCGAUGGCGAAGGCAGAUCUCUGGGCCGUAACUGACGCUGAGGAGCGAAAGGGUGGGGAGCAAACAGGCUUAGAUACCCUGGUAGUCCACCCCGUAAACGUUGGGAACUAGUUGUGGGGACCAUUCCACGGUUUCCGUGACGCAGCUAACGCAUUAAGUUCCCCGCCUGGGGAGUACGGCCGCAAGGCUAAAACUCAAAGGAAUUGACGGGGACCCGCACAAGCGGCGGAGCAUGCGGAUUAAUUCGAUGCAACGCGAAGAACCUUACCAAGGCUUGACAUAUACGAGAACGCUGCAGAAAUGUAGAACUCUUUGGACACUCGUAUACAGGUGG
This 1000-nucleotide ribosomal RNA is filed under the name Microbacterium sp. RNAcentral describes it as "bacterial SSU rRNA". It matches the Rfam family "Bacterial small subunit ribosomal RNA", at positions 22 to 1041 of the family's 1533-position model. The record is from RNAcentral. Lineage: Bacteria; Bacillati; Actinomycetota; Actinomycetes; Micrococcales; Microbacteriaceae.